GACGAGAGGCGCGGGUGUUAUUCGUUUUGAUUGGGUGUAAGGGGUAUGUAGACGGUGGCCAACCUUUCGAUGACCAAAAUUGCGGAGUAAUUCUAUGCAUGUGUCAGAGUUAAGCGGCCAUAGGUGUUGUGUGCGGGUCGUGGAAUUCUGUGUGUAGAGGUAGAAUCCCACCAUAUACGGAGGACUACCAAAUAGCAGAGGCAUCUUUCUUGUUUCAACAGUCGUUGAGGUACGGAAGCGUAGGGAUCAAACAGG
Molecule: ribosomal RNA, 255 nt
Filed under: uncultured bacterium
Lineage: Bacteria
Description: partial 16S ribosomal RNA
Rfam family: Bacterial small subunit ribosomal RNA
Source: RNAcentral